This 497-nucleotide ribosomal RNA is filed under the name uncultured bacterium. Its description in RNAcentral is "partial 16S ribosomal RNA". It matches the Rfam family "Bacterial small subunit ribosomal RNA", at positions 28 to 507 of the family's 1533-position model. The record is from RNAcentral.
GAUGAACGCUGGCGGCGUGCCUAAUACAUGCAAGUCGAGCGAACAGACGAGGAGCUUGCUCCUCUGACGUUAGCGGCGGACGGGUGAGUAACACGUGGAUAGCCUACCUAUAAGACUGGGAUAACUUCGGGAAACCGGAGCUAGUACCGGAUAAUAUAUUGAACCGCAUGGUUCAAUAGUGAAAGACGGUUUUGCUGUCACUUAUAGAUGGAUCCGCGCCGCAUUAGCUAGUUGGUAAGGUAACGGCUUACCAAGGCAACGAUGCGUAGCCGACCUGAGAGGGUGAUCGGCCACACUGGAACUGAGACACGGUCCAGACUCCUACGGGAGGCAGCAGUAGGGAAUCUUCCGCAAUGGGCGAAAGCCUGACGGAGCAACGCCGCGUGAGUGAUGAAGGUCUUCGGAUCGUAAAACUCUGUUAUUAGGGAAGAACAAAUGUGUAAGUAACUAUGCACGUCUUGACGGUACCUAAUCAGAAAGCCACGGCUAACUACGUG